AGUAACACGUGAGCAACCUGCCUUUCAGAGGGGGACAACAGUUGGAAACGACUGCUAAUACCGCAUAAAAUAACGGAACCGCAUGAUUCUGUCAUCAAAGGAGAAAUCCGCUGAAAGAUGGGCUCGCGUCUGAUUAGAUAGUUGGUGAGGUAACGGCCCACCAAGUCGACGAUCAGUAGCCGGACUGAGAGGUUGAACGGCCACAUUGGGACUGAGACACGGCCCAGACUCCUACGGGAGGCAGCAG
RNAcentral lists this ribosomal RNA (247 nucleotides) under uncultured bacterium. Its description in RNAcentral is "partial 16S ribosomal RNA". It matches the Rfam family "Bacterial small subunit ribosomal RNA", at positions 109 to 354 of the family's 1533-position model. The record is from RNAcentral.